This is a long non-coding RNA of Panicum virgatum (switchgrass), 1340 nucleotides long. RefSeq lists it as uncharacterized. Lineage: Eukaryota; Viridiplantae; Streptophyta; Magnoliopsida; Poales; Poaceae. The record is from RefSeq and is a predicted model, not a curated record. The transcript is spliced from 2 exons.
CUUAUCUCUCAUCACCGCUCACGCGCGCACACUCUCUCUCUCCCCCCUAGCCUUAUCCUUUCCCCAACCUUAUCUCCUCUCUCCCAUGGCAGUAUGGCACCCAGUGGCUUCGUCAGCGCCGGCGCAGCAAGCUCCCUCGACGUAGGGGCGCAAGGCCUCCGGGGCCUCACCCUGCUCCUACUCGCCACGCUCGCCGUCUCCCAUGGCUGUGCCGUAUUCGCGCUCGGGUGUAGGCGCCAUGGAUGCCCCCCGCACAACUCUGCUGCCGGGCCCCCAUGGACUUGCCGUUUGGCUCGUGUUGUUUUGCUGUCGGCUUGUCAACGACACAGCCAUGCCCGAGCUGCAACCUCUGCUGCACCAUUCAUCGCUGGUCCAGCCGCCAUCUUCAUGUCCGCCGGCCAAGAAGCACCCGGAUUAGUUCCCUUCACUGUGCUGGCUCUGCCGCAUUUUCCGCAUGUGACAGCCAUCUUGUGAAGAGAUCUGGAACCAUCUUCACCGGAUCUGCCCAUCUCCAACCUCGUUGGGUCAACACAGCCUUCAAGAUUGUCAUCUUACAGUGUCAAUCCUUGUAUGUCUUCUAAUCCAGUUGCUUUGCAGCACGGACCGGAGGCUUGCCCCUCCGGCCCUCCCUAGGAUUUGUGUAGAUAGUGAUUAAUUAUGUGCAACUCAUGCGGUUAAGGUUUUUUCUAAGCGAUUUGGUUAUUUGCAGUUGAGUGGAGACUGGAGAAACCAUUAUUUGUUACCCUAGAUUUUUUUCUCGUCCUAGUUACUUUCAAGCUGCAGGUAUGUGAUAGAUUUCAUAAGUGGACUAGACUGUAGUUUCUGAACGAGGCCUGGACGCUCAAUGUUUAAUGCUUCUGUCUUUUCUUUCAAUUAAGUAUGUCUUGAGUUUUUCGAUAGUGUUGUUUGGGCUGUGUAAUCUGUUCUGAAACUGCAGAUUGUGCAGUGUUGUAUGGGCAACUGCGAAUGACCUUAGUUUGGUUCCUCUAUGACAUUCUGCAUAUAUAUAAUUUAUAUGACAUUCAUUUGUAGAUUAGUUCCCUUAACAAGCUAAUGUUGCUUUAACAAGCUAAUGUUCAGUUCUUUGUCUCUUGCAAGGACAGAAGACACCAGAAAAUGGUCCAUGCCAUUCGUGUUAAGCAGACACCAGUACACAUGGAUGUCACUAAUGAUAUGUGCUUUUCACUUUGUGUAAUGAAAUAUAAAGGGCAUUGGUGUGUAUGUGUUGGAAAUUCAAUGAGAAAUAAUGGCUGCAUGGAUUGUACAGAUCUUUAAGAUUCAACUUAGCUAUAUGUGCAAAUGUGUAUAUUUGAGUGAUUCAAUUUGUUAUGUCGACUAAA